RNAcentral lists this ribosomal RNA (480 nucleotides) under uncultured bacterium. RNAcentral describes it as "partial 16S ribosomal RNA". It matches the Rfam family "Bacterial small subunit ribosomal RNA", at positions 28 to 506 of the family's 1533-position model. The record is from RNAcentral.
GAUGAACGCUGGCGGCGUGCUUAACACAUGCAAGUCGAACGAAGCAUUUGCGACAGAUUUUUUCGGAAUGAAGUUGCUUAUGACUGAGUGGCGGACGGGUGAGUAACGCGUGGGUAACCUGCCUUGUACUGGGGGAUAGCAGCUGGAAACGGCUGGUAAUGCCGCAUAAGCGCACAAUGUUGCAUGACAUGGUGUGAAAAACUCCGGUGGUAUAAGAUGGACCCGCGUCUGAUUAGCUAGUUGGUGAGAUAACAGCCCACCAAGGCGACGAUCAGUAGCCGACCUGAGAGGGUGACCGGCAACAUUGGGACUGAGACACGGCCCAGACUCCUACGGGAGGCAGCAGUGGGGAAUAUUGCACAAUGGAGGAAACUCUGAUGCAGCGACGCCGCGUGAGUGAAGAAGUAAUUCGUUAUGUAAAGCUCUAUCAGCAGGGAAGAUAGUGACGGUACCUGACUAAGAAGCUCCGGCUAAAUACGU